This is a long non-coding RNA of Leopardus geoffroyi (Geoffroy's cat), 126 nucleotides long. RefSeq lists it as uncharacterized. The record is from RefSeq and is a predicted model, not a curated record. The transcript is spliced from 3 exons. NCBI's taxonomy places the organism in Eukaryota, Metazoa, Chordata, Mammalia, Carnivora, Felidae.
AGCCACAAAGACAUGAAGAAACCUUAACUGCAUAUUGCUAAGUGAACAAAGCCAGUCUGAAAGACUACAUGUGCAUGAUUCCAACAAUAAGAAAUUCUGGAAAAGGCAAAACUAUAAAAACAGGAA